GGAUCAGUAACUCAGUGGCAGAGUAGCUGUAAAUAUCAUGCAGGUACGCAUCAGCUGAAGCGUGCAUGAUGUCUAGGUAGGUCGCAAGUUCAACCCUUGCCUGAUCCG
RNAcentral lists this transfer RNA (108 nucleotides) under Caudoviricetes sp. RNAcentral's name for it is "tRNA-OTHER". The record is from RNAcentral. Lineage: Duplodnaviria; Heunggongvirae; Uroviricota; Caudoviricetes.